Canis lupus familiaris (dog) is the source of this 445-nucleotide long non-coding RNA. RefSeq lists it as uncharacterized. The transcript is spliced from 2 exons. The record is from RefSeq and is a predicted model, not a curated record. NCBI's taxonomy places the organism in Eukaryota, Metazoa, Chordata, Mammalia, Carnivora, Canidae.
ACGUUGUAUUUCCUCCUUCAGGGGCGGGGUUCCGGGAGGUCCCGAAGGCAGUGGCGAUGCUCUGGGACGCUGUCCGCCGAGCGAGCGGCGUUGCACGGUAUUUCACGAGUGACACGCUUAUCCCUUAAGAGGUUCCACCGCUGAACUGUGAAACCAGACAAACCACCCAGGCCAGUGAGGCCCCGAGGGAACUUAUGGGUCACGUGAGCUCCCAUCACCAUCUGGUGUGUCUCCGCCUCUUGGAUUUUAAGAUGUAUGGAAAGUGCAGGCCUCCAGGAGUUCUGUGGGACAGAGAAGAGAAGUAGGACAGUCAAAAAUCUACCUAUAUUUAUUUUCUGUUGAAUGAAUGAAUAGUUAAGCCUGAUAAUAAAAGCACUCAGACCCAUUGGGGUCUGAUGGGUGGACCAGGCCCUUCUCUCAGUGGCCUUCUCCACUUGCCUGUACA